This 168-nucleotide non-coding RNA is filed under the name bovine gut metagenome. The record is from RNAcentral.
GUACCGCACGGGUACGGUCGGUGAAAAGGGAACGGGGUGCGAAUCCCCGACGGUACACCUGCCGCUGUAUGUACCUCUUGCGCCCGUCGGCGAAAGCCGGUCAUUGGGAAACCGAGAAGGCAGAGCGCAAGCGAAAAAAGGGUACGAGUCAGAAGACCUGCUUUGACG